Molecule: ribosomal RNA, 499 nt
Filed under: uncultured bacterium
Lineage: Bacteria
Description: bacterial SSU rRNA
Rfam family: Bacterial small subunit ribosomal RNA
Source: RNAcentral
AAAGGAAUAGACGGGGGCCCGCACAAGCGGUGGAGUAUGUGGUUUAAUUCGACGCAACGCGAAGAACCUUACCAGGUCUUGACAUCUUCUGCCAGCUAUAGAAAUAUAGUGUUUCAUAUUCGUAUGGACGGAAAGACAGGUGGUGCAUGGUUGUCGUCAGCUCGUGUCGUGAGAUGUUGGGUUAAGUCCCGCAACGAGCGCAACCCCUGCCUUUAGUUGCCAUCACGUGAAGGUGGGCACUCUAAAGGGACUGCCGUUGACAAAACGGAGGAAGGUGGGGAUGACGUCAAAUCAUCAUGCCCUUUAUGAUCUGGGCUACACACGUACUACAAUGGCCGGUACAGACGGAUGCGAAGCCGCGAGGUGGAGCGAACCCGAGAAAGCCGGUCCCAGUUCGGAUUGCAGGCUGCAACCCGCCUGCAUGAAGUCGGAAUCGCUAGUAAUCGCAGGUCAGCAUACUGCGGUGAAUACGUUCCCGGGCCUUGUACACACCGCCCGU